This 506-nucleotide ribosomal RNA is filed under the name uncultured bacterium. RNAcentral's name for it is "partial 16S ribosomal RNA". It matches the Rfam family "Bacterial small subunit ribosomal RNA", at positions 29 to 523 of the family's 1533-position model. The record is from RNAcentral.
AGUGAACGCUGGCGGUAGGCCUAACACAUGCAAGUCGAACGGCAGCACAGAGGAGCUUCCUCCGUGGGUGGCGAGUGGCGGACGGGUGAGGAAUACAUCGGAAUCUACUCUGUCGUGGGGGAUAACGUAGGGAAACUUACGCUAAUACCGCAUACGACCUACGGGUGAAAGCAGGGGCCCUUCGGGCCUUGCGCGAUUGAACUAGGCGAUGUCGGAUUAGCUAGUUGGCGGGGUAGAGGCCCACCAAGGCGACGAUCCGUUGCAGGUCUGAGAGGAUGAUCAGUCACAAUGGAACUGAGGCACGGUCCAGACUCCUACGGGAGGCAGCAGUGGGGAAUAUUGGACAAUGGGCGCAAGCAUGAUCCAGCCAUACCGCGUGGGUGAAGAAGGCCUUCGGGUUGUAAAGCCAUUUUGUUGGGAGAGAAAUCCAGCUGGCUAAUACCCGGUUGGGAUGACGGUACCCAAAGAAUAAGCACCGGCUAACUUCGUGCCAGCCGCCGCAGUAA